Molecule: small RNA, 720 nt
Filed under: Pongo abelii (Sumatran orangutan)
Lineage: Eukaryota; Metazoa; Chordata; Mammalia; Primates; Hominidae
Description: processed transcript
Source: RNAcentral
ACCUGCGCCCCUUCUCCCGCGCUGGUGGCUGGGGCUUCUCAGCCUCUAUUUUCUGGCUGUCCCCUUUGUUUGAAGCUCCAGUGAGGGAGCAGUGGCUGGGGUGGCCCAGCUUCAAAGUCUCUGUCCUCUUGAAAAUAGGUGGUCGGGGGACAUUGACCCACCAGCCCCGCAGGCUACUGCCUGCAAACAAGAACCCCUCAUCUGCCACGCACGUUCUUAAUGUAUCUAUAGUCCGCUUGAUGCCACAAAGGAGUCCAGGUGGUAACUUCCAAGAGUGACUCCGUGGGAGGAAAAUGACUGCCCAGUCGCUGCUGCAGAUGACGCUGUUCCUGCUGAGUCUGCUCUUCCUGGUCCAAGCCAGCGGAACCAGACACACAAGAGCAGCCUCCACUACAAAGCCACGCAAGACCUGCGCAUCUCCAUCGAGAACUCCGAGGAGGCCCUCACAGUCCAUGCCCCCUUCCCUGCGGCCCACCCUGCUUCUCGAUCCUUCCCUGACCCCAGGGGCCUCUACCACUUCUGCCUCUACUGGAACCGACAUGCUGGGAGAUUGCAUCUUCUCUAUGGCAAGCAUGACUUCUUGCUGAGUGACAACGCCUCUAGCCUCCUCUGCUUCCAGCACCGGGAGGAGAGCCUGGUCCAGGGCCCCCUGCUGUUCGCCACUUCUGUCACCUCCUGGUGGAGCCCUCAGAACAUCAGCCUGCCCAGUGCCGCCAACUU